AUUCCUUGAUCUCUUCUGGUUAAAAACACUUACAUUUCAGUCUCUUCUGCCAGCUCAAAAAAUCCUGAUAUCAACAAAAUCUGUACAGGUUAUAUACUUAGCAUAAAACGUCAAUCUUAUAUACUUGGCAUAAAACGUCAAUCUUUGCUACGUGCUAUCUCGAUUCUUGACAACAACUAAGCACGAGUACUUGCAGCAUUUCCAUCAAUUUCCCAGAAGAAGAUCCCACAACAGAAACCAUUUAGCUAGAUUUGAGAAUGUAUCAUAGUAAAUAGUAAUUUAGGUUCUACUUCAAAACCUUGGUUUCUAGAAAAUUAUAGAAACAUUUGAAAGUAUUAAAUUUUACAGCAUGGAGAAGGCUGAUUGCAGGGAGCGCAUGCAUGAGACAAUGCAGAUGCAGUAGCACAAAUUUAAGGGACUGCAAACCAAUAUUAGAGUUCUUGCAAUUUCCCUUUGAACAUCUAAUCUUUUAACAGUAUCCAAGACUUCAGUUUAGCACAAUAACAAGCAAUAUCACUCAAUUUAUUCUUGUUCUUGAUUUGCUCCCUUUUUUGUGCAUCUCACAAAACUUUUCAUGUGAUGAAAAUCAUAGAACAUAGAUGCAGGUGAAUGUUUAGGAGAACAGGAAACUCUUAAGGACAUAAAAAUGCCUCUCUAACACAUAAUACAGUUAGAUAUCCAUGCAAUCAAGAUUCAGAAUACCCAACAAAAAAACAAGGAAAAAUGAGCAAAGCCAAGUAUUAAACAUAUACAAUACAAG
Molecule: unclassified non-coding RNA, 760 nt
Filed under: Hevea brasiliensis (rubber tree)
Lineage: Eukaryota; Viridiplantae; Streptophyta; Magnoliopsida; Malpighiales; Euphorbiaceae
Source: RNAcentral